AAGAGAAGAUUAAAACAAAAAUGAACUUUUUCCAUCAAAACAAUGUAAUUACUUUACUUUUUAUACAAUAAAACAGUUUAAACAGUUAUUUCUUGAAUAGUCAAGUUCAGAAUAAAGAAAGAAAUUUAAUUAAAUCGAUUAUAUAAAACCCAAAAACAAGAAAAAACUUGCUACAAGAAUAUUGGCAACAACUGAAGUUUGAUAAAAAUGUACAAGUUAUGAUAUGCCUGCUGUUUUAUUUACACUUUCCUCUCUUAUAUUAAAAUCCUAAUAGGAUUUUAUCAUGAACUUUUUAUGUUGUCAAAUAUUUUUGAUUUGAGGUCUGCAUUCUUAGGUGGGUUGAAGUUAGUGAUUUAAAAAAAUAAAUAAAUAAAAAAUUUAAACCUCAUGUUCUUUUACAUUCAUUUUAUCCAGGCACUUGGUAGACAUACAGCAAUAGAGAACAACAAGUGCCGUAGGUUAAUGAUUGAUCGUUAAUCUAUCUGUGUUCAGAGACUGAGUCACGGAGCUGGAGUGUAGCAUGAAAUAAAAUUUUUGAUUAAACUCAAUAAUGAGAAGAUACUUUAUUACAGAAAAAAGGGAUGAUUCACUUUAUUUGGGAAAUGCAUCUCAACAAAGCUAUAUAUUACAAUGUAUUAUAUAUUUUACAAUAUUGCAGUGGCACUGAAAGGUUAAGUAUGUUCUCAUGUCUGCCGCUCCCUGGAAUGUUUGGUAGUUAUGACCAGUUUUAUUAGCCAUUAAGAUUCACUCAAAUGUUCCUUCAAUUUAGCUUGGAAUAUUUGCCUCCUCCUAUUAGCUCUUCAGUCCUGUUCCAUUCAGUUUUUUACCUCUACAGUAUUAGCGUCUUCUCAAUCCUGACAUUACAACACAUCCAUAGAGUCCUGUCAUGAAGCAUCACUGGGAAAUAGACAAAAUAUGAAUAGAAAGCUGGUCUGUGUUAACACUGAUCCAUAUCACAUGUACCACAACAGAUGUUCUUCCAGUCAUGAUCCAUUUCCUAUGAAAAUAUGUUUGAAUGUAGAAAAAACUCAUAAGAGUUAUACUUUUCGGCUAUAAUAUAUACCCAAAAAGUUAUAUUAAAAAUUACAAAUUAAUUGUAAUUUGAACUCAAAUUACAAUUAAUUGUCAAGUUACUUUCAUUAGCAUUAGUUCCAGUCUAUUAACUGGUCACGUCCGUUGGACUUUCUUUUAGUGUUGUAGUUUGGCCGCCAUCCAGCAGAGGGCGCCGCUGGUUAUCCUUAAACGGAGCCGUUGAUGUAGAAACAAAGAUGGCGGCCACACCAGAACGUCAAAAGAAAGAAACGGUCCUAACAGAGUCAGCAGUAGGCAGUGUAGUGGCCCGACCCAAAUCCCUUCCCAUGAUGCAUCACGACAGCAGAGAGCUCGUAGAGGAAGUGCUUGGGGCGGGGAGACCCUGCGGCGCUGGGGCUGCAGUAGGGCUCCAUGUUGAGGAGCUGGUCGAAGCUGACGUGGACUCCGAUCUUCUCCCGGUGGUUCCGCCCGGACCACCUGACCAUCAGACACAGUGGAGCCUGAGGACCUGAGGCAGUUUAAAGACCAUCAGCUGUUUCUUUGCUUCGGUCAAGAUGACUGUUUUGGAGCAUGUGCGUCGUCGGGCUGCUGCAAGAGGAAGAUCAUUGUAAAACGAGGCUGAAGGCUGGAGAGGUGCUGAAGGUGGAAGAGUUUAAGCACCUUGGCUCAACCCUUCAAAGCUGAUGUCUGUGCAGAAAAGAAGUGAAGAAGAAGAAGAAAGGAGGCCGGGUGGAGUGGAAGGAGACGACUGUCAAGGGUGAUUUGUGAUGAAGCACAAAGCUGUGAGAGUGACGGCGAAGAUUUACAAGACAGCAGUGAGAUCUGCUCUGAGCGUAUGAACGAGGCAAACAGCCUCCUUGGUGUAAAGUAUUUGUGCAGCUGUCUUGGUUUUGCUCUGGAGCCUCUGGUUCAGGGGUGAAGGCUAAUUACAGAGGUGGAGAAAGAGCAGCCAGCUGAGCAGCAGGAGAAAACAGCUGGUCUGUCAAAGUCCUGCCUGACCUCUUCUAAGAUCUGGCUCAUCAGCUGAGGUGUCACAGGUCAAAGGUCAGGCUCCCUGCACAACUGCAAGAAAGCCACAAACCAAGGGAGGAAAACAAAAUGUUGUUUACACACAGCGCUCCAGCAGCUGUCAGAAACAAUUUGUAGAAAUGACCGCCAGGCUCCCAGCUGCAGAGCGGCUCCCGACUCACACGGUUCCAAUUAAACAUCAGUGGAUCUCAGGAAGCUCUGCAGCGCUGCAGUCAAAGUGUGCCAGGUGAUUAAACACUCAAUCACCUGGCUCUGCUCUCGUUCUGCUUCCUACGCCACUCGCCUGUAGCGUGACUGAGCCAACACGGGAAAAUCGCUGAUUCUGCAGCAGGGAUUACCGUCCACACGCGACAGGUGUGGUUCCGCCCCCCGCUCCACCUGUUGCAUGUUUGUUUUUCUGGUGUUUCUCUUUCUGCUAAAGACUGGAUGAAACAACUUCAGGGAUAAACUCCAGAGUACUUAGAGGUGCAGCCGGCUCCAUCCCGGCCUCCGCCUGCUUUUCCCUCCUCCAGCCCAAAGGUGGCGCUGC
Molecule: long non-coding RNA, 2590 nt
Organism: Gambusia affinis (western mosquitofish)
Lineage: Eukaryota; Metazoa; Chordata; Actinopteri; Cyprinodontiformes; Poeciliidae
Exons: 7
Source: RefSeq, a predicted model, not a curated record